This is an RNA transcript of Zalophus californianus (California sea lion), 13297 nucleotides long. It is a transcript of the gene named bassoon presynaptic cytomatrix protein, with no coding region annotated. The record is from RefSeq and is a predicted model, not a curated record. NCBI's taxonomy places the organism in Eukaryota, Metazoa, Chordata, Mammalia, Carnivora, Otariidae. The transcript is spliced from 12 exons.
GCGGCGGCGGCGCCGAGCGUGUGAGCAGCAGCCCGGGAGCCGCCGGCCCGGGUCCAGCACGACCCCGACCCCGCCCGCCCGCCAGCCAUGGGCAACGAGGCCAGCCUGGAGGGCGGCGCUGGCGACGGGCCCCUGCCGCCCGGAGGCACCGGCCCUGGCCCGGGCCCCGGCGCAGGAAAGCCGCCUUCAGCACCUGCCGCCGGCGGACAGCUCCCCGCUGCAGGCGCGGCGAGGGCAACUGCGGGACCACCGGGCCCAGGUCCCGGCCCCGGUCCGGGCCCUGGCCCCGGCCCCGGCCCCGGUCCUGGCAGCGUUUCCAGGAGACUGGACCCCAAGGAGCCCCCGGGUAGCCAGAGAGCAGCUUCCCCAACCCCGAAGCAGGCUUCUGCUACUGCUCCCGGUCGCGAGAGCCCCCGGGAGACAAGGGCGCAGGGCCCAGCAGGCCAGGAGGCUGAUGGCCCCCGCAGGACGCUGCAGGUAGACAGCAGGACGCAGAGAUCAGGGCGGUCCCCCUCUGUGUCACCGGACAGAGGCAGCACCCCCACAUCACCCUACUCCGUCCCCCAGAUCGCCCCCCUUCCCAGCAGCACGCUGUGUCCCAUAUGUAAGACCUCGGACCUCACGUCGACCCCCAGCCAGCCAAACUUCAACACCUGCACCCAGUGUCACAACAAGGUCUGCAACCAGUGUGGGUUCAACCCCAACCCUCACCUCACCCAGGUGAAGGAGUGGCUGUGUCUGAACUGCCAGAUGCAGAGGGCUCUGGGGAUGGACAUGACCACCGCGCCUCGCUCCAAGAGCCAGCAGCAGCUGCACUCCCCAGCCCUGUCUCCUGCCCAGUCCCCAGCCAAACAGCCCCUGGGGAAGCCGGAGCCAGAGAGAUUGCAGGGCCCAGGGGCACCCCAGCCUGGCCCCCGCCAGGCUGAGACAGCCAGGGCCACCACAGUGCCGGGGCCUGCCCAAGCCCCUGCCCCUCCGGAGAUGGGGAAGCCAUCUCCUCAGCCCCCUCUCCCCAUCAAGCCUUCCACAGCGGAGCCCAGGCCACCUGCAGGAGAGGCCCUGGCCAAAAGUGCCACCACAGUGCCCUUGGGGCCUGGUGCUGCUGAGCAGACCCAGGAGGGCCUCACUGGGAAGCUCUUUGGCCUUGGUGCAUCCCUGCUGACCCAGGCGAGUACCCUCAUGUCUGUGCAGCCUGAGGCUGAGCCCCAGGGCCAGGCUGCUCCCAGCAAAGGGCCACCUAAGAUUGUCUUCAGUGAUGCCAGCAAGGAGGCUGGCCCGAGACCCCCAGGCUCAGGGCCUGGGCCUGGGCCGGCACCUGGAGCCAAAACAGAGCCUGGAGCUAGAACAGGUCCUGGCGUGGGACCUGGAGCCCUGGCAAGAACUGGGGGAACCACCAGUCCAAAGCAUGGCAGAGCGGAACACCAGGCUGCCACCAAGGCCACUGCCAAGCCAAAGACCAUGCCGAAGGAAAGGGCCACCUGCCCACUGUGCCAAGCUGAGCUCAACGUGGGCAGCAAGGGCCCCGCCAACUACAACACCUGUACCACAUGCAAGCUCCAGGUGUGCAACCUGUGUGGCUUCAACCCAACGCCCCACCUGGUAGAGAAAACCGAGUGGCUCUGCCUGAACUGCCAAACUAAGCGGCUGCUAGAGGGCAGCCUGGGAGAGCCGACCCCCCUGCCGCUGCCCACCUCUCAACAGCCCCCCGCAGGGGCCCCUCUCCGGGCGCCUGGAGCAGCCCCUCCGAAGCAGAAAGGGCCACAGGGGCCGGGCCAGCCAUCAGGCCCCCCGCCUGCCAAGGCCAGUCCCCUGCCCACCAAGGCCAGCCCCCAGGCCAAGCCCCUCAGGGCUUCUGAACCCAGCAGGACCCUGAGCGGUGCCCAGGAAAAGAAGACAGGAACCCCAGCUAAAGCCGAGCCUGGGCCAAAACCACCUCCAGAGACUACCCUGGCCCCUGGGACUCCCAAAGGAAAGACAGGGCCCCGGAGGACUGAACCUGCCACCCCUGUCGUCAAGGCCGUUCCAGAAGCCCCCACGGGUGGGGAGUCGGAGGAGCUGGUGGGCAAGCCGUACUCUCAGGACCCGUCCCGGAGCCCACAGAGCCUCAGCGACACAGGCUACUCCUCCGACGGCGUCUCCAGCUCCCAGAGCGAGAUCACAGGCAUUGUACGGCAGGAGGUGGAGCAGCUGGACAGCGCGGGGGUGACAGGGCCUCGCCCGCCCAGCCCUUCUGAGCUCCACAAGGUGGGGAGCAGCAUGCGACCUUCGCUGGAGGCCCAGGGCCCGGCCCCCAGGGGCGAGCCGAGCAAGCCGCCCAGGAGCAGUAGGGACGAGCGGAAGCGGAGGCCCCACUCCUUGUCCAUCAUGCCUGAGGCCUAUGACUCCGACGAGGAGCUGGGGGACAUCCUGGAGGGAGAGGAAGACUCCCUGGAGUGGGGGCACCAGAGGGAGCAGCAGGACACAGCCGAGUCCUCAGAUGACUUCGGCAGCCAGCUGAGACACGACUACGUGGAGGACAGCAGCGAGGGUGGCCUGUCCCCGCUCCCACCCCAGCCCCCAGCCCGGGCCACGGAACUGACUGACGAGGAGUUCAUGCGACGGCAGCUGCUGGAGAUGAGCGCCGAGGAAGACAACCUGGAAGAGGAGGACGCCGCCGCCUCCAGCCACGGCCUGGCCAAACCCGGCGCCCAGAAGGGCGGCCCCCGGCCCCGGCCAGAACCCAGCCACGACGCAGCGGCUCCGCCUAAGAGACGUCUGCCGCACAACGCCACCACGGGCUACGAGGAGCUGCUCCCUGAGGGAGGCCCAGCCGAGGCCGGCGACGGCACCGGGGCCCUGCAGGGGGGGCUGCGCCGCUUUAAGACCAUUGAGCUCAAUAGCACGGGCAGCUAUGGCCACGAGCUGGACCUGGGCCAAGGCCCUGACCCCAGCCUGGAGCGGGAGCCCGAGCUGGAGAUGGAGAGCCUGACGGGUUCGCCCGAGGACCGCUCCCGUGGGGAGCACUCCUCCACGCUGCCGGCCUCCACGCCCAGCUACACUUCCGGCACGUCUCCCACCUCCCUGUCCUCACUGGAGGAGGACAGCGACAGCAGCCCCAGCCGCCGGCAGCGGUUGGAAGAAGCAAAGCAGCAGCGCAAGGCACGGCACCGCUCCCACGGGCCCCUACUGCCCACCAUCGAGGACUCCUCGGAGGAGGAGGAGCUGCGGGAGGAGGAGGAGCUGCUGCGGGAGCAGGAGAAGAUGCGGGAGGUAGAGCAGCAGCGCAUCCGCAGCACUGCCCGCAAGACGCGGCGAGACAAGGAAGAGCUGCGGGCCCAGCGGCGGCGUGAGCGCUCCAAGACUCCCCCGAGCAACCUGUCACCCAUCGAGGAUGCCUCCCCAACGGAGGAGCUGAGGCAGGCGGCCGAGAUGGAGGAGCUCCAUCGCUCCUCCUGCUCCGAGUACUCGCCCUCCCCUUCCCUCGACUCAGAGGCUGAAGCCCCGGACGGUGGCCCCAGCCGGCUCUACAAGUCAGGCAGUGAGUACAACCUGCCCACCUUCAUGUCCCUCUACUCGCCAACUGAGACGCCCUCGGGCAGCACGGCCACUCCCGGUGUGGGCCGGCCCCUCAAGAGCGCGGAAGAGGCCUAUGAGGAGAUGAUGCGCAAGGCCGAGCUGCUCCAGCGGCAGCAGGGGCAGGUGGCAGGCGGCCCCUCCCAGACCCCUGGCCCCCAGGGCCAGGGCGCCUUUGAGUACCAGGACACCCCCGACCAAGACUAUGGCCGGGCUGCGCAGCCUGCCUCCGAGGGCACACCGGCCAGCCUGGGGGCCGCUGUGUACGAGGAGAUCCUUCAGACGUCACAGAGCAUUACCCGCAUGCGGCAGGCCUCCUCCCGGGACCUGGCCUUUGCCGAGGACAAGAAGAAGGAGAAGCAGUUUCUGAAUGCCGACAGUGCGUACAUGGACCCAAUGAAGCAGAAUGGCGGCCCACUCACCCCUGGCACCAGUCCCACCCAGCUCGCUGCCCCCGUGUCCUUCUCCACCUCCACCUCCUCAGACGGUAGUGGUGGCCGAGUCAUUCCUGAUGUCCGCGUUACUCAGCAUUUUGCAAAGGAGCCUCAGGACCCUCUCAAGCUUCACAGCUCCCCUGCAUCCCCCAGCUCUGCCUCCAAGGAGGUAGGCGUAUCCUUCUCCCAGGGCCCUGGCACCCCAGGCACCACAGCCGUGGCUCCUUGUCCCGCCGGCCUGUCACGAGGUUAUAUGACUCCCACUUCCCCAGCAGGCUCUGAGCGCAGCCCUUCACCAUCUUCUGUAGGCCAUAGCUAUGGACAGAGCCCAACCACUGCAAACUAUGGGUCCCAAACUGAGGAGCUACCCAUGGCCCUCAGCGGCCCCACUGCCAGUGGACGGGCUGCCAGAGAGAAGCCCCUGAGUGUGAGUGACGGGGAGAGCGGCCCCCACAAGGCCUCCCGGGGCUAUGCCUACUUUGUGGGCUCCAGCCCACCUCUCUCUCCAUCUUCUCCCUCAGAGAGUCCCACGUUCUCCCCUGGCAAGCUGGGCCCAAGGGCCACAGCCGAGUUCUCUACACAGACGCCAAGCUCGACCCCGGCCUCGGACAUGCCUCGGAGCCCUGGUGCCCCGACCCCAGCACCCAUGGUGGCUCAGGGCACACAAACACCACACCGACCCAGCACACCUCGCCUGGUGUGGCAGCAGUCCUCUCGGGAGGCCCCCUUUAUGGUCAUCACUCUAGCAUCAGACGCCUCCGGCCAGACCAGGAUGGUACAUGCCAGUGCCUCCACCUCCCCAGUGUGUUCGCCCACCACCCACAGCUACAGCCAGACGACACCUCCAAGUGCGUCCCAACUGCCCCUAGAGCCACCCGGGCCACCUGGCUUCCCACGGGCACCCAGCGCUGGUGCGGACGGGCCCUUGGCAGUAUAUGGCUGGGGCGCCCUCCCUGCUGAGAACAUCUCCCUUUGCCGGAUCUCCUCUGUCCCUGGAACGUCUAGGGUGGAGCCAGGCCCCAGGCCUCCGGGCAGUGCCGUGGUAGACCUUCGCACAGCUGUCAAACCCACACCCAUCAUCCUUACUGACCAGGGCAUGGACCUGACCUCUCUUGCCGUGGAAGCAAGGAAGUAUGGCCUUGCCCUGGAUCCAAUCCCAGGACGGCAGUCGACUGCUGUGCAGCCUUUGGUCAUCAACCUCAAUGCCCAGGAGCAGACCCAUGCCUUCCUCAGCACCUCCACCACCGUGAGCAUCACCAUGGCCUCAUCUGUGCUCAUGGCUCAGCAAAAGCAGCCUGUGGUCUAUGGAGACCCCUUCCAGAGCCGGCUUGACUUUGGCCAGGGUUCGGGUAGCCCCGUGUGUCUGGCCCAGGUCAAGCAGGUAGAGCAGGCUGUCCAGACAGCCCCGUACCGAGGUGGGCCCCGUGGAAGACCUAGGGAGCCCAAGUUUGCCAGGUAUAACCUUCCCAACCAGGUAGCACCUCUAGCCAGAAGGGACGUUUUAAUCACUCAGAUGGGCACUGCCCAGAGUGUUGGCCUCAAAUCAGGUCCAGUGCCAGAGCCGGGCGCUGAACCCCACCGGGCUGCCCCCGCAGACCUGCGGUCACAUGCUAUGCCCGGUGCCAGGAAGCCACACACAGUGAUGGUGCAGAUGGGAGAGGGCACGGCAGGCACUGUGACCACACUGCUCCCGGAGGAGCCCACAGGUGCCCUGGACCUCACCGGGAUGAGGCCUGAGAGCCAGAUGGCAUGCUGUGACAUGGUCUACAAGUUCCCCUUUGGCAGUAGCUGCACGGGCACCUUCCAACCCACCCCCAGCGCACCUGAAAAGAGUGUGGUGGACAUUGCCCCACCCGGCCAGAGCGGCGGCCCCUUCUACAGUCCCCGGGACCCUGAGCCUCCCGAGCCCCCCACCUACCGGGCACAGGGGGUAGCGGGGCCUGGGCCCCAUGAGGAGCAGAGGCCCUACCCACAGGGCCUCCAUGGCAGACUAUACUCCUCCAUGUCUGACACCAAUUUGGCUGAGGCUGGCCUCAACUACCAUGCACACAGGAUUGGGCAGCUCUUCCAGGGCCCUGGACGAGACUCCGCUGUGGAUCUCAGCUCGCUGAAGCACUCCUACAGCCUGGGCUUUGUGGAUGGACGCUACCUUGGGCAGGGCUUGCAGUAUGGCUCAUACACAGACCUGCGUCAUCCCACGGACGUUUUGACUCACCCACUUCCCAUGCGGCGCUACAGUUCGGUGUCAAACAUCUACUCAGACCAUAGGUAUGGCCCGCGGGGAGAUGCCGCUGGCUUCCAGGAGGCCAGCCUGGCCCAGUACAGUGCCACCACCGCCCGCGAGAUCAGCCGCAUGUGUGCUGCCCUCAACUCCAUGGACCAGUAUGGAGGGCGGCAUGGCAGCGGUGGUGGUGGCCCCGACCUCAUGCAGUAUCAGCCUCAGCCCGGGCCUGGGCUCAGUGCCCCCCAGGGUCUGGCUCCCCUCAGACCCGGCCUCCUUGGCAACCCCACCUUCCCAGAGGGCCACCCAGGUCCUGGGAACCUGGCCCAGUACCGGCCUCCGGUAGGCCAGGGAACAGCAAUCAGACAGCUGCUGCCAUCCACAGCCACUGUGCGCGCAGCCGACGGCAUGAUCUACUCAACUAUCAACACUCCAAUUGCUGCCACACUGCCCAUAACCACUCAGCCCGCCUCGGUACUGCGGCCCAUGGUGCGCCGCGGCAUGUACAGGCCUUACGUGUCCGGCGGAGUCACAGCCGUGCCGCUCACCAGCCUGACGCGCGUGCCUGUGAUUGCCCCCCGGAUACCUCUUGGGCCCAUAGGGCUGUACCGAUAUCCUGCACCAAGCAGAUUCCCCACUGCUUCCAGCGUUCCACCUGCUGAGGGUCCUGUCUACCUGGGGAAAUCCGCUGCUGCCAAGGCCCCAGGGGCUGGGGGCCCACCAAGGCCAGAGCUGCCUGCGGGGGCAGCUCGGGAAGAGCCUCUCUCCACAGCCACCCCUGCCGCCGCCAAGGAGGCCCUAGCAGCCCCAGCCCCAGCCCCGCUGGCUGGCCAGAAGCCCCCCGUAGACGCUGCUCCCGGGGGUGGCAUUGGGGCCCUUGGCCGUCCCGGGCUGGAGAAGGAGGACGCUGCGCAGGAGGAGCGGCAGCGGAAGCAGCAGGAGCAGCUGCUGCAGCUGGAGCGGGAGCGGGUGGAGUUGGAGAAGCUGCGGCAGCUCCGGCUGCAGGAGGAGCUGGAGCGGGAGCGCGUGGAGCUGCAGCGGCACCGCGAGGAAGAGCAGCUGCUGGUGCAGCGGGAGCUGCAGGAGCUGCAGACCAUCAAGCACCACGUGCUGCAGCAGCAGCAGGAGGAACGGCAGGCUCAGUUCGCCCUGCAGCGCGAGCAGCUAGCACAGCAGCGUCUGCAGCUGGAGCAGAUCCAGCAGCUGCAGCAGCAGCUGCAGCAGCAGCUGGAGGAACAGAAGCAGCGGCAGAAGGGCCCCUUCCCUGUGGCCUGCGAGGCACCUGGCCGGGGGCCUCCCCCUGCUGCCCCGGAGCUGGCACAGAAUGGCCAGUACUGGCCCCCUCUGAGCCACACGGCCUUCAUCGCUGUGGCAGGGCCAGAGGGGCCUGGGCAGCCUAGGGAGCCCGGGCUGCAUCGGGGCCUCCCCAGCUCGGCCUCGGACAUGUCGCUGCAGACUGAGGAGCCGUGGGAGGCGGGCCGCAGCGGCAUCAAGAAGCGGCACUCUAUGCCUCGCCUGCGGGAUGCCUGCGAGCCGGAGUCGGGCCCCGAGCCCUGCACGGUCCGGAGGAUCGCAGACAGCAGCGUGCAGACAGAUGACGAGGAAGGUGAGGGCCGCUACCUCCUGACCCGGCGGCGCCGGGCGCGGCGGAGUGCCGACUGCAGCGUGCAGACUGACGACGAGGACAGCGCUGAGUGGGAGCAGCCCGUGCGCCGCCGCCGGUCCCGUCUGUCCCGCCACUCGGACUCCGGCUCCGACAGCAAGCACGAGGCUGCUGCCUCAUCAUCCUCUGCGGCUGCCACCACGAAGGCCAUGAGCAGCGUGGGCAUCCAGACCAUCACUGACUGCUCCGUGCAGACGGAGCCUGACCAGCUGCCCAGGGUCUCUCCGGCCAUCCACAUCACAGCCGCGACCGACCCCAAGGUGGAGAUUGUCCGGUACAUCUCGGCGCCAGAGAAGACUGGGCGCGGGGAGAGCCUGGCCUGCCAGACGGAGCCCGAGGGGCAGGCCCAGGGUGUGGCUGGGCCACAGCUGGUAGGGCCGACCGCCAUCAGCCCUUACCUGCCCGGCAUCCAGAUCGUCACCCCUGGGCCCCUGGGCAGAUUCGAAAAAAAGAAGCCGGAUCCCCUGGAGAUUGGCUACCAGGCCCAGCUGCCCCCGGAGUCCCUGUCCCAGCUUGUGAGCCGCCAGCCUCCCAAGUCCCCCCAGGUCCUCUACUCACCGGUCUCACCCCUGUCCCCACACCGGCUCCUGGACACCUCCUUUGCUUCUAGUGAGAGGCUGAACAAGGCUCACGUGAGUCCCCAGAAGCACUUCACGGCUGACAGUGCUCUCCGCCAGCAGACGCUGCCUCGCCCCAUGAAGACCCUGCAACGGUCCUUGUCUGACCCUAAGCCCCUCAGCCCCACCGCCGAGGAGUCUGCCAAAGAGAGGUUCUCCCUCUACCAGCACCAGGGGGGACUGGGUAGCCAGGUGUCGGCGCUGCCACCCAACGGCCUGGUCCGCAAGGUGAAGCGGACACUGCCCAGCCCCCCUCCAGAGGAGGCUCACCUGCCCCUGGCUGGCCAGGCCCCCCCACAGCUGUAUGCAGCCAGCCUGCUGCAGCAUGGGCUGGCGGGGCCCACCGCUGUCCCUGCCACCAAGGCCAGCCUGCUCCGGGACCUGGACCGGGACCUGCGGCUGGUGGAGCAUGAGUCCACCAAGCUGCGCAAGAAGCAAGCGGAGCUGGACGAGGAGGAGAAGGAGAUUGAUGCCAAGCUCAAGUACCUGGAGCUGGGCAUCACACAGAGGAAAGAGUCUCUGGCCAAAGACCGGGGCGGCCGUGACUACCCGCCCUUGCGUGGGCUCGGUGAGCAUCGUGACUACUUGUCGGACAGCGAGCUCAACCAGCUGCGGCUCCAGGGCUGUGCCACUCCUGCCGGCCAGUACGCAGACUUCCCUGUCACUGCCGCCGCUCCUGCCACCCCCUCUGGCCCCACUGCCUUCCAACAGCCCCGGUUCCCGCCUCCGGCCCCGCAGUACACUGCAGGCAGUGGUGGGCCAACCCAGAACGGAUUCCCGGCCCACCAAGCACCCACCUACCCUGGCCCCAGCACAUACUCAGCACCUGCCUUUCCUCCUGGCACCAGUUACCCAGCUGAGCCUGGCCUGCCAGGCCAACAGGCUCUCCGUCCCACAGGCCAUUAUGCAGCCCAAACACCCAUGCCAAACACACAGAGCACUCUUUUCCCGGUCCCAGCCGACAGCCGUGCCCCCCACCAGAAGCCACGCCAGACAUCACUGGCCGACUUGGAACAAAAGGUGCCCACUAACUAUGAGGUGAUCGCCAGCCCUGUCGUGGCCAUGUCUUCAGGCGUGUCUGAAAGCAGCUACAGCGGCCCAGCAGUGAGCAGUAGCUACGAGCAAGGCAAAGCUGCUGAGCUGCCCCGGGCCGGUGACCGUAGUGGCGUGAGCCUGAGCUCAGCCUCCACCUACCCCUCUGACUCCCACUACACCAGCCUGGAGCAGAAUGUCCCCCGGAACUAUGUGAUGAUUGACGACAUCAGUGAGCUGACCAAGGACAGCACCUCCACUGCCCCCGAGAGUCAGCGACUGGAGCCCCUGGGGCCGAGCAGCAGCGGGCGUCCUGGGAAAGAGCCCGGAGAACCAGGCAUCCUGGAGGGGCCUGUACUGCCCUGCUGCUACACCAGAGGGGAGGAAGAAUCCGAGGAGGACUCUUACGACCCCCGUGGGAAGAGUGGCCACCACCGGAGUGUGGAGAGCAAUGGCCGACCAACCAGUGCCCACUACUACAGUGACAGCGACUACAGACACGGGGCUCGAGCAGAGAAGUACGGUCCGGGCCCCAUGGGGCCCAAGCAUCCCUCCAAGAGCCUGGCACCAGCUGCCAUCUCCUCAAAGCGCAGCAAGCACCGGAAGCAGGGCAUGGAGCAAAAGAUCUCCAAGUUCUCACCUAUUGAAGAGGCCAAGGACGUGGAGUCGGAUCUGGCCUCCUACCCCUCCCCUGCCGUUAGCAGCAGCCUAGCCUCUCGGGGCAGGAAGUUCCAGGACGAAAUCACCUACGGGCUCAAGAAGAACGUGUACGAGCAGCAGAGGUACUAUGGGGUGUCCAGCCGGGACCCAGUGGAGGAAGACGACCGCAUGUAUGGAGGGAGCAGCCGGUCCCGGGUGGCAUCUGCAUACAGUGGGGAGAAGCUGUCCAGCCAUGACUUCGGUGGCCGGGGCAAAGGAUAUGAGCGGGAACGGGAAGCUGUGGAGCGACUUCAAAAAGCGGGCCCCAAGCCCUCAUCCCUGAGCAUGGCCCACGGCCGGGCCCGGCCCCCCAUGCGGAGCCAGACCUCUGAAGAGGAGAGCCCCGUCAGCCCCUUGGGGCGGCCCCGCCCUGCCGGCGGCCCCCUUCCUCCUGGGGACACCUGCCCACAGUUCUGCUCCAGCCACUCCAUGCCUGACGUCCAGGAGCACGUCAAGGACGGGCCUCGGGCCCACACAUAUAAGCGUGAGGAGGGCUACAUCCUGGACGACUCCCACUGCGUAGUUUCCGACAGCGAAGCGUAUCACCUGGGCCAGGAGGAGACAGACUGGUUUGAUAAGCCCCGCGAUGCCCGCUCUGACCGGUUCAGGCACCACGGGGGCCAUGCAGUCUCCUCCUCCUCCCAGAAGCGAGGCCCUGCCAGGCCCAGCUACCACGACUACGAUGAGCCCCCCGAGGAGGGCCUGUGGCCCCGUGAUGAGGGUGGCCCGAGCCGCCACGCCUCAGCCAAGGAACACCGGCACCACGGUGACCACGGGCGGCACUCAGGCCGCCACGCUGGCGAGGAGCCGGGCCGGCGUGCUGCCAAAGCACAUGCUCGGGACCUGGGUCGCCACGAGGCCCGGCCUCACCCUCAGCCCAGCCCUGCCCCGGCCAUGCCGAAGAAGGGUCAGCCUGGGUACCCCAGCUCCGCUGAAUACUCACAGCCACCCCGUGCUCCGUCAGCAUACCAUCAUGCCUCUGACAGCAAGAAGGGCUCCCGGCAGGCCCACGCGGGGCCCGCUACACCGCAACCAAAGCCAGAGCCCCAGCCGCAGCCGCAAUGUCGGCAGGCAGCUCCCGGGCCACAGCAGUCACAGCCGCCGCCAUCGAGGCAGACCCCCUCGGCAACAGUGUCGCGCCAGCCACCGACACAGCAGCAGCAGCAAGGUCUCGGGGCACAGCCCCCCCAGCAGGCCCCGGUGCAGGCCCGGCUGCAGCAGCAGGGCCAGCCAGCUGCCCGGGGCCCGGCCCCUGCUGCCAGCCAGCCGGCAGGGAAGCCUCAGCCAGGCCCCACGACAGCCUCGGGCCCCCAGGCCGCAGGACCGCCACGGGCAGAGCAGGCAAAUGGCUCUAAAGGGACAGCCAAGGCACCCCCACAGGGGAGGCCUCCUCAGGCCCAACCACCACCAGGACCUGGACCUGCAGGCAUGAAGGCUGGAGCCAGGCCUGGAGGGACCCCAGGGGCUCCUGCUGGCCAGCCAGGCGCCGAAGGUGAGAGCGUGCUCUCCAAAAUCCUCCCUGGUGGGGCGGCAGAGCAGGCCGGCAAGCUGACGGAAGCUGUCUCUGCUUUUGGCAAAAAGUUCUCCUCAUUCUGGUGACCAUGCCCUGCAGGGCUCUUGAAGAGAUGAAGGGAGAUGAUAUCAUUGCUGUGGAAAAAUCUCUGGAGUCAGAGGCCUGGGCACAGCUCUGGACUCUGCGUAUAACACAUCUGCAAUCUGGCAAACCCUUGGCCCAAAGACUCACACCAGGUGGGACGUGGCAGGCAGGCCUCAGUUGAGGACGUUUUCUAACAGCAGCUGCCUGGGUGAAGCAUCUGCUGGACAUGUUGGGACCACUGGCCCGGGGGACCUGUGAUUGUCUUUCCAGAGACCCUGCUCUCCUCAGGGCACCACCUUCGAGGCCUAGCCUUCGCUGGGAGGGAGGAGCCCUCUCCGGACACCCUGCCACUGCGGCCCGGCCAGCCAGGCUUCCUAUGUGUUAUACACAGAGUUUGGGCACAGGCUGCCUGUUUUUGACGGACGCUGCCCUCCCUCCACGAUGCCAGAAGUUUUUCCACAGCCUUGGAGAGGGGCUUUGACUGAGGGCUGGGGGCCCCGGGCUCCGUUUCCUUCACAUUCCAGCUGACCCGGAUCCCUCUGUGGCCACAGGGCCCUGCUCCCCUCACCCUGCCCUCUGGGUGACAUCGGAGCAGACCUCCAUGUGGCUAGCGUGGGGUUGGGAGAACUUUACAAACAUUAGGACCUAACACUGUCUCAUCGCUGAAAUAAGAGGCCAUAGCACCGAAAAGCAGCGUGGGCACUGGCUGAGGCUUCUCCCAGCCCAUGGGUGGCAGCAUGCUAGCCCGCCUGCCACCAUCUCAAAGCCAUCCCCCCCCCCCCGCCCCCAACCAUCGUGAGCAUCCCAGCAGCACCGCCAUUGUCUCGACCAGCCAGCUCCUUGUUCGUACACCUGGGGAUUUCUUUUGAUUUCAAGAACAGCCUUAAUCAUUUCAGUUUGAUUUACAUGUAUACCUCAUAAGCAUUUUUCUUUUUUUUCUCCUUCUCCCCCUUCUCUCUUUUUCUUUGCUCACCUCCUUGCCUCUCCCCUCCACCACCUCCUGUGACUGAUGGUUUGGUUUCCUCUCCGCUCUGCCCCUGCUCAGCACAGGGAGAAUGUUGACUCAGAAGCAAUAGGGGGCAGCAGGCCACCAAGAGCACAACCCCAGGGCGAGGUCUAAGGGAGGCCCCUCAGCCCACCUCUGUUUACUGUGCAAUCCAGUCCUUCUUAAGCCAUCACCAGUGGGCAUGCUCAGAGCAGAGGGGCCAGGGCUCCUGCCAGCCGAGGUCUGGGCCCAGAGCCCUGUGCUGGGGGGUAUGGCACCGCCCACCCACCUGGCGGACUGGGUGGCAUUCCUCCCCAAGGCCCUUACCCUGGGGGCCUCCCUUCCUCUUGGGCACCCCCACCAGUCUCAUCUCUAACGUUCUAUGCAAUGAAAUAUAAACCCUCAAAGACAACUGUUAAUAUUUAAUAAAUUCCAUGUUAUGUAUAAGGAGUCAAUUGCAAACGUGCAAUUGAGAAACUGGAUAGAUAUGCUCAUAU